UCCUUUUUGUGGCUGAAUAAUACUCCAUUGUUUGUAUAUACUACACUCCAUUCAUCCAUUCAUCUGUUGAUAGACGUUUGGGUGGUUUCUGCCUUUUGGCUGCCGUGAAUAGUAUUGCCAUGCAUAUUCCUGUACAGGUAUUUGAGUACCUCUUUUCAGUUCUUUUGGAUAUAUACCCAGGUGUGGGGUUGCUCAGUCAUCUGGUAAUUCUGUGUGUAACCAUUUGAGGAGUCUUUUUUGAUUCUUGACACUGCAUUUCAAGGAGAUAUUAUCCAACUUUUAUAGGAAAGAAGGUGUGAGCUCUGAUUGAUAGGACUCAUUUCUUCAAAGUCACCCAAUGCUGUGGUCUGAAUGUUUUGUGUCCCCUCCAAAAUUUGUACAUUCAUAUCUUGAAAUCCUAAUGCCCAAUGUGAUGGUGUUAGGAGGUGGGGCCAUUGGGAGGUGAGCCCUUAUGUAUAGGAUUAGUGCCCUUUUAAAAGCAGGUCCAGCAAGAUCCCUAGCCCUAUAGCCAAGUGAGGACAAAAUAAGAAGUCUGUGACCUGGAAGAGGGCUCUCACCCAACCCUGCUGGCACCUUGAUCUCAGACUUACAGGCUCCAGAACUGUGAGAAAUCAACUUCUUUUUUUAUCAGCCAUCCAGUCUUUGGUAUUUCGUUAUAGCAUCCCGAGUGGCCCAAGACCUCCAGCCAGAGAGCAGUACAGCUGGAAGUCACAGCACCUCACAUGCCCACUCUUCCAUCUCAUCCUCCCCAAAAUACCUGAGGUAGAUGGUUGCCGUUUUCAGAUGAAGAAACAGUCCCAUAAGUUAAGUGACUUGCUGAGGAUACAAGUAAUUUCAGGAGAUGUUUUCAUUCCAUUUAGAAACCAGACCUUAUCAUUGAUUAUUUAGAUGUGUUUCUUUUCCUUUCCUUAGGCCUUGCAAUCUGGUGACAUGCCAAGAGAAUGCAAUGGGAUCAGAUCCCUAUGUUGAAACCCUAAGCCCCAAUGUGGCUGAAGAUGGAGCCUCUAAAGAAGUUUUCCCGUGCAAUAGAAAAAGUAAUAUGAUAGCUGUUAAUGGGUUGACUCCAAUAAAAGAACUUUGCAAAGAGUUAAGUGGUGCUAACUUUAUAUCCAUGUCCUGAGAUGCUUCAAAUAGAAAAUUAGUUAAUUUCUGUAAUGGUUUGAAUUUUUUACCCAAAUUAUUGGAAACUAAAUAAAUUUGGAAAUUUAUUUUAAUGAAGGUGAAUCAUAUGAUAUUAUGGUGACUCUUGUUGUAAAUUAAGUUCAAAAGUUCAACAUUAAAAAUAAAAUGAUUUGUCUUAACAUCGUAAGAGAAAUACAAUUUUUGGUGCCACACAAUGUCAAGGUAAAACAAUAUUUUUACUACCUUAUGAAACCAUGGAGCAAAUUUUUUACUCAGAAUUGUUUGAUUGUAUACAUGAUUCAAAAUCGCAUCCAAAU
This is a long non-coding RNA of Aethalodelphis obliquidens (Pacific white-sided dolphin), 1439 nucleotides long. RefSeq lists it as uncharacterized. The record is from RefSeq and is a predicted model, not a curated record. The transcript has 3 exons. Lineage: Eukaryota; Metazoa; Chordata; Mammalia; Artiodactyla; Delphinidae.